Non-coding RNA from Aspergillus avenaceus, 121 nucleotides. Lineage: Eukaryota; Fungi; Ascomycota; Eurotiomycetes; Eurotiales; Aspergillaceae. The record is from the annotation of a GenBank genome assembly.
GUCAGUGUGGCCGAGUGGUUAAGGCGAUUGACUUGAAUUCUACUUCUGGGUUUACAUCUGGAUGUACAAAAUUCGUCAUCAAUUCCGUUCGCGGGCGUAGGUUCAAAUCCUGCCGCUGACG